GACGAACGCUGGCGGCGUGCUUAACACAUGCAAGUCGAACGCUGAAGCUCAGCUUUUGUUGGGUGGAUGAGUGGCGAACGGGUGAGUAACACGUGAGUAACCUGCCCCCUUCUUUGGGAUAACGCCCGGAAACGGGUGCCAAUACUGGAUAUUCACUGGUCUUCGCAUGGGGGUUGGUGGAAAGGGUUUUUCUGGUGGGGGAUGGGCUCGCGGCCUAUCAGCUUGUUGGUGGGGUGAUGGCCUACCAAGGCUUUGACGGGUAGCCGGCCUGAGAGGGUGACCGGUCACAUUGGGACUGAGAUACGGCCCAGACUCCUACGGGAGGCAGCAGUGGGGAAUAUUGCACAAUGGGCGCAAGCCUGAUGCAGCGACGCCGCGUGAGGGAUGGAGGCCUUCGGGUUGUGAACCUCUUUCGCUCAUGGUCAAGCCGCAACAAUGGUUGUGGUGAGGGUAGUGGGUAAAGAAGCGCCGGCUAACUACGUG
This 483-nucleotide ribosomal RNA is filed under the name uncultured bacterium. RNAcentral describes it as "partial 16S ribosomal RNA". It matches the Rfam family "Bacterial small subunit ribosomal RNA", at positions 28 to 507 of the family's 1533-position model. The record is from RNAcentral.